AUUCCUUUAUAAUAGGGAUGUGAACGCUUGGAGGGCUAGCUCGUCCCUGGGUUGUCGCGAAAAGCAAACUUUGCCCCACAUGGAUCGACAUCUAACCGUGACUCAUACCAGGUUGCAUAAAGUUGGUUUAAAUCUGGACUUUGGGUCACCUUACACAGGCCAUUGUGGGUUCAGUCUUUUUACUUUUAAGAUUCCUUGAACCGUUCAGUACUUUAAUCUUUACAACAUUGAACUCCUUUUGAGACUUACUUGCACAUGUGCAAAUUUAUGUUAAAAACUCAAGAAAUUAAAAAAAACAAAAAAAAAAAAACAAAAUAUGUGCAAAGUUGUCAGUGUAUCCAAUAAAUAUUGUUCAUUUACAAAUGAAUGAGGCUGGUGGUUUCAGAUAGAUUUUUUAAACAAAGAAUUUUUAAGAUACUGAGUUAAUUAACAGAUAUUAAUUCUUAACCAUUUUACUUUAAAACAUCCUACGAUAAAUCUGUACAACAAGAUUAUAAUAAUUUACGGAAUAAUGUGAUCUUUAAAGGAAUAAUGCUACCUCUAAUGACAUUUUCGAAAACCAUUGAUGUAAUGAUUUAUUAGUUUAAUUUAAUUUCGACAUAUAAUCAUUAUGCUGAACAUAAUGUGCUAAAUGUCACAACAUCAUAAUGUAGUCUAACACAAGGAUAAAACAAUCUUCAGAUAAUUAGGAAUUCCAACACACAGAAUUGAUAAUAAAGUGUAUCAUGUACCAUACCAUAUUUUAUUGUAGUCGCAUAUUAAUCUCCAAUUGAUUAUAUUUUACUCAUCUCUAGAUUUUCGUGGCCAUAGAUUUUCACAUAUACAAACUCCAAUUCACCAAUGCACCAAUGCUUAAUAAUAAAAAGACCUUAAGCACUUCUUGAAACUCAUCUUAAUUGAUUAUCAUGCACAUGGGUCAAGGAAUUCUGUUAGCUUAUGUCAGGAGUCAAUAGGUAAGGUCACUGGGCUGGUAAUAACAUUCCAAAAGCACACAAAGAUGAAAAGGAGAUAUACAUCUAUACAUAUACAUAUAUAUAUAUAUAUAUGUCAAUAUGUAUUGACGAGGUCUAAAUAUCUAUGAGGAACUUGUUUCCUCCCAUUGCAUCGGUGUCAAGGUGAGGAUUGU
Molecule: long non-coding RNA, 1126 nt
Filed under: Physcomitrium patens
Lineage: Eukaryota; Viridiplantae; Streptophyta; Bryopsida; Funariales; Funariaceae
Description: long non-coding RNA (PPAT_LNC003632)
Source: RNAcentral